AGGUUAUCCCACUUCUUUCCUGAGUAAUGGGGUGCAACUGAGCCCUUCUUCCCAGGGUGGCAUGUAGGUGCAGUCCCCCUCUUGUAGCCGGCCUGGAGAUACUUGGUAGCUCCUGUACCUCACCUGGGCGUGCAUGGGAGCUGUCCCCGCAUCUCCAGUGUGGGUCCUUCCCACCUGGAUCCAUACUUGGCUGGCUAAACCAUGGUGGUGGAGGCCUCAGUGGGCUGCUUCCAACGGGGUGAAGGCAGCCCCUUCCCAGUGUCGGCUGAGGAGCCUGCACAGCAAGGUGGAAGUUUUGGCAGGGACCCCUGAGAUCCCAGCUGGAAACAAAAGGGCUGUUGCUACAAGAUGGGUUGGUUCACCUGCUCGCACUGUUGUUCCAUUUUCUGAAGAACCUUCUUUCUCCCAGCAGGAUGAGGAAUGGCUUCGCGUGAGAUCUGCCAACGUGGUUGUGGAGGAUCAGGUGCAGAGUUUUGCCAGGGGCUGCUGCUAUUUUACAUGAGAGGUGCUGGUGAUUGAGGAAUUGCAGGGUAAAAUUAAGACCCCCUCGUUUUGUGAUGCCGUCUCCAGUGUUGCUGGGUACUGUUGGCAGCCCCUGGACAUGUGAUCCAGUUGACGUUGUUGGUUCACACACAACCUGCCUUGAAAGGGAUCAGAAUUCUUCAACUGAACUGCACCUGAAAAGAAUUAUUUUACGGUCCAGAAAAAAACAGGUAACCCCACAGAAACAAAUGACUGAAGUUUGGGUCUUAAUUGCUGUGUAAACUGAGUUUAUUAUACACACACGUGUCUAAGGAUCUUCUUCUGUUAAAGUCUAAUCUCUUGGUAAACUUACUCUCAAAUCAUUAACGCAUCUGGGCCGCUCAAGGACUCGUUUUGCUGACACAAACAAGUCAGUCAUUAUUAGCCCACAGUCCCCUUACUUCACAGGCUCUUCUACCCAGCUGCCAUGGAUGCGAGUGCCUGCAAGGUCUGAUGAGUACUUUCAAAAGAUAAGUCAAUGUUGAC
Molecule: long non-coding RNA, 1008 nt
Organism: Chroicocephalus ridibundus (black-headed gull)
Lineage: Eukaryota; Metazoa; Chordata; Aves; Charadriiformes; Laridae
Exons: 3
Source: RefSeq, a predicted model, not a curated record